Molecule: long non-coding RNA, 1158 nt
Organism: Numida meleagris (helmeted guineafowl)
Lineage: Eukaryota; Metazoa; Chordata; Aves; Galliformes; Numididae
Exons: 5
Source: RefSeq, a predicted model, not a curated record
AUGGUGGGGAUGGGUUGACUGCUGGACUGGGUGAUCUUAGUGGUCUUUCCAAACCUUAAUGAUUCUAUGGAAAUUGAUUCAAAAGCAUUGGGCCAUGCCUGAAAGUGAUGGUGCUGGGGACAGAAGCAUCCAGGGGUUGAAAUUCCAUCAUCCGUGAGGGGCUGGGCAUCCCCUGAUGCUGUACAAGGAAAGGAAAGCCAGGAAAGCGGUGAAACUGAUUUGGAACAAUUUUGGACUAUCCAGGCAAGCUGGGGGAGGGAGAUGGGAGGAAGAGGGCCGCUCUUGGGUGUGAAUCUACAGGAAUGCAAAUGGUGGAUUCUGAGAGUUUGCACGACUGGAAUGGGGGCAUUCUGAAAUGCAGAGGGGUACGGUCACAUCACAAAGGAGAUGUGAGCUCAUGUGUGGGGUGGGGAGGAAAAGGCCCCCUCGGAGGGACACCCGCUAAAGGGAAGGGCUCUUCUCCUGUGACACCAGCAGCACUUCAGCAGGUGUCAGAAUGCUUGGCUGUAGGGAAAGACUGAGCAGCCCUUCAAAGCAGACGGGGUCAGGGUAGAGUCAUACCAUCACAGAGUUGUUUGAGUUGGAAGGGACUUUUAAUGAUCAUCUGGUCCAACUCCCCUGCAAUGCACAAGGACACCUACAGCUCGAUCAAGGCAGGACACAAAGCUGAAGGCCCAGGAUGAGGAGCUGCCAGCACCAGAGAUGGAAAUAAUAUCAGUGAUUGACCUAAACGUUCAAGGGAUUACACCAAUCCUUUAGCUGAAGCUGCAGAGCCACACAGUGACACAGACCCACGCAAUCCGUCUGCAUCUGGCCGCAGGAAGUAAUUCACAAGACGGCAAAUCUGCCCUUUGGUGCAAUUAGUUUGGCAAAAACAACAACAAACCAAGGGCUGCAAACAGGAUCAUGGACGUGAGGAAACACAAACUGCACUGUGAUCAAUACUCUCUGAAAUAUGACUCUCUGUGGCCCAAAAUGGAGUUUUCGAGCCAGGCAAACCAUUACAGUCUGAUUCUCUCUCUGCCUUUAGAUGGAUACCCUGAAGUAAAACACAGCAGCAAUUGGUCAACUUGUUUCAGGCUUUGAACAGGCAAAUAGUCACUUAUUAUUUUUAAGGACAACUGUGUGCAAAUAAAAAGUCUGGGCAGCCAAACUCUG